This 38-nucleotide ribosomal RNA is filed under the name Diaporthe helianthi. RNAcentral describes it as "partial 18S ribosomal RNA". Lineage: Eukaryota; Fungi; Ascomycota; Sordariomycetes; Diaporthales; Diaporthaceae. The record is from RNAcentral. RNAcentral also lists the same sequence under 1 other name.
ACCUGGUUGAUUCCUGCCAGUAGUCAUAUGCUUGUCUC